AUUGAACGCUGGCGGCAUGCUUUACACAUGCAAGUCGAACGGUAACAGGCCGCAAGGUGCUGACGAGUGGCGAACGGGUGAGUAAUGCAUCGGAACGUGCCCAGUCGUGGGGGAUAACUACUCGAAAGAGUAGCUAAUACCGCAUACGAUCUAUGGAUGAAAGCGGGGGACCGUAAGGCCUCGCGCGAUUGGAGCGGCCGAUGUCAGAUUAGGUAGUUGGUGGGGUAAAGGCUCACCAAGCCAACGAUCUGUAGCUGGUCUGGGAGGACGACCAGCCACACUGGGACUGAGACACGGCCCAGACUCCUACGGGAGGCAGCAGUGGGGAAUUUUGGACAAUGGGCGCAAGCCUGAUCCAGCAAUGCCGCGUGCAGGAAGAGGGCCUUCGGGUUGUAAACUGCUUUUGUACGGAACGAAACGGCUCUGGUUAAUACCCGGGGCUAAUGACGGUACCGUAAGAAUAAGCACCGGCUAACUACGUG
RNAcentral lists this ribosomal RNA (482 nucleotides) under uncultured bacterium. Its description in RNAcentral is "partial 16S ribosomal RNA". It matches the Rfam family "Bacterial small subunit ribosomal RNA", at positions 30 to 507 of the family's 1533-position model. The record is from RNAcentral.